RNAcentral lists this ribosomal RNA (2790 nucleotides) under Escherichia coli. RNAcentral's name for it is "bacterial LSU rRNA". It matches the Rfam family "Bacterial large subunit ribosomal RNA". Lineage: Bacteria; Pseudomonadati; Pseudomonadota; Gammaproteobacteria; Enterobacterales; Enterobacteriaceae. The record is from RNAcentral.
UUAAGCGACUAAGCGUACACGGUGGAUGCCCUGGCAGUCAGAGGCGAUGAAGGACGUGCUAAUCUGCGAUAAGCGUCGGUAAGGUGAUAUGAACCGUUAUAACCGGCGAUUUCCGAAUGGGGAAACCCAGUGUGUUUCGACACACUAUCAUUAACUGAAUCCAUAGGUUAAUGAGGCGAACCGGGGGAACUGAAACAUCUAAGUACCCCGAGGAAAAGAAAUCAACCGAGAUUCCCCCAGUAGCGGCGAGCGAACGGGGAGCAGCCCAGAGCCUGAAUCAGUGUGUGUGUUAGUGGAAGCGUCUGGAAAGGCGCGCGAUACAGGGUGACAGCCCCGUACACAAAAAUGCACAUGCUGUGAGCUCGAUGAGUAGGGCGGGACACGUGGUAUCCUGUCUGAAUAUGGGGGGACCAUCCUCCAAGGCUAAAUACUCCUGACUGACCGAUAGUGAACCAGUACCGUGAGGGAAAGGCGAAAAGAACCCCGGCGAGGGGAGUGAAAAAGAACCUGAAACCGUGUACGUACAAGCAGUGGGAGCCUCUUUAUGGGGUGACUGCGUACCUUUUGUAUAAUGGGUCAGCGACUUAUAUUCUGUAGCAAGGUUAACCGAAUAGGGGAGCCGAAGGGAAACCGAGUCUUAACUGGGCGUUAAGUUGCAGGGUAUAGACCCGAAACCCGGUGAUCUAGCCAUGGGCAGGUUGAAGGUUGGGUAACACUAACUGGAGGACCGAACCGACUAAUGUUGAAAAAUUAGCGGAUGACUUGUGGCUGGGGGUGAAAGGCCAAUCAAACCGGGAGAUAGCUGGUUCUCCCCGAAAGCUAUUUAGGUAGCGCCUCGUGAAUUCAUCUCCGGGGGUAGAGCACUGUUUCGGCAAGGGGGUCAUCCCGACUUACCAACCCGAUGCAAACUGCGAAUACCGGAGAAUGUUAUCACGGGAGACACACGGCGGGUGCUAACGUCCGUCGUGAAGAGGGAAACAACCCAGACCGCCAGCUAAGGUCCCAAAGUCAUGGUUAAGUGGGAAACGAUGUGGGAAGGCCCAGACAGCCAGGAUGUUGGCUUAGAAGCAGCCAUCAUUUAAAGAAAGCGUAAUAGCUCACUGGUCGAGUCGGCCUGCGCGGAAGAUGUAACGGGGCUAAACCAUGCACCGAAGCUGCGGCAGCGACGCUUAUGCGUUGUUGGGUAGGGGAGCGUUCUGUAAGCCUGUGAAGGUGUGCUGUGAGGCAUGCUGGAGGUAUCAGAAGUGCGAAUGCUGACAUAAGUAACGAUAAAGCGGGUGAAAAGCCCGCUCGCCGGAAGACCAAGGGUUCCUGUCCAACGUUAAUCGGGGCAGGGUGAGUCGACCCCUAAGGCGAGGCCGAAAGGCGUAGUCGAUGGGAAACAGGUUAAUAUUCCUGUACUUGGUGUUACUGCGAAGGGGGGACGGAGAAGGCUAUGUUGGCCGGGCGACGGUUGUCCCGGUUUAAGCGUGUAGGCUGGUUUUCCAGGCAAAUCCGGAAAAUCAAGGCUGAGGCGUGAUGACGAGGCACUACGGUGCUGAAGCAACAAAUGCCCUGCUUCCAGGAAAAGCCUCUAAGCAUCAGGUAACAUCAAAUCGUACCCCAAACCGACACAGGUGGUCAGGUAGAGAAUACCAAGGCGCUUGAGAGAACUCGGGUGAAGGAACUAGGCAAAAUGGUGCCGUAACUUCGGGAGAAGGCACGCUGAUAUGUAGGUGAAGUCCCUUGCGGAUGGAGCUGAAAUCAGUCGAAGAUACCAGCUGGCUGCAACUGUUUAUUAAAAACACAGCACUGUGCAAACACGAAAGUGGACGUAUACGGUGUGACGCCUGCCCGGUGCCGGAAGGUUAAUUGAUGGGGUCAGCGCAAGCGAAGCUCUUGAUCGAAGCCCCGGUAAACGGCGGCCGUAACUAUAACGGUCCUAAGGUAGCGAAAUUCCUUGUCGGGUAAGUUCCGACCUGCACGAAUGGCGUAAUGAUGGCCAGGCUGUCUCCACCCGAGACUCAGUGAAAUUGAACUCGCUGUGAAGAUGCAGUGUACCCGCGGCAAGACGGAAAGACCCCGUGAACCUUUACUAUAGCUUGACACUGAACAUUGAGCCUUGAUGUGUAGGAUAGGUGGGAGGCUUUGAAGUGUGGACGCCAGUCUGCAUGGAGCCGACCUUGAAAUACCACCCUUUAAUGUUUGAUGUUCUAACGUUGACCCGUAAUCCGGGUUGCGGACAGUGUCUGGUGGGUAGUUUGACUGGGGCGGUCUCCUCCUAAAGAGUAACGGAGGAGCACGAAGGUUGGCUAAUCCUGGUCGGACAUCAGGAGGUUAGUGCAAUGGCAUAAGCCAGCUUGACUGCGAGCGUGACGGCGCGAGCAGGUGCGAAAGCAGGUCAUAGUGAUCCGGUGGUUCUGAAUGGAAGGGCCAUCGCUCAACGGAUAAAAGGUACUCCGGGGAUAACAGGCUGAUACCGCCCAAGAGUUCAUAUCGACGGCGGUGUUUGGCACCUCGAUGUCGGCUCAUCACAUCCUGGGGCUGAAGUAGGUCCCAAGGGUAUGGCUGUUCGCCAUUUAAAGUGGUACGCGAGCUGGGUUUAGAACGUCGUGAGACAGUUCGGUCCCUAUCUGCCGUGGGCGCUGGAGAACUGAGGGGGGCUGCUCCUAGUACGAGAGGACCGGAGUGGACGCAUCACUGGUGUUCGGGUUGUCAUGCCAAUGGCACUGCCCGGUAGCUAAAUGCGGAAGAGAUAAGUGCUGAAAGCAUCUAAGCACGAAACUUGCCCCGAGAUGAGUUCUCCCUGAC